GAUGAACGCUGGCGGCGUGCUUAACACAUGCAAGUCGAACGGAAAGGCUCCUGCUUGCCGGGGUACUCGAGUGGCGAACGGGUGAGUAACACGUGGGCGAUCUGCCCUGCACUUCGGGAUAAGCCUGGGAAACUGGGUCUAAUACCGGAUAGGACGAUGGUUUGGAUGCCAUUGUGGAAAGUUUUUUCGGUGUGGGAUGAGCUCGCGGCCUAUCAGCUUGUUGGUGGGGUAAUGGCCUACCAAGGCGUCGACGGGUAGCCGGCCUGAGAGGGUGUACGGCCACAUUGGGACUGAGAUACGGCCCAGACUCCUACGGGAGGCAGCAGUGGGGAAUAUUGCACAAUGGGCGCAAGCCUGAUGCAGCGACGCCGCGUGGGGGAUGACGGCCUUCGGGUUGUAAACUCCUUUCGCUAGGGACGAAGCGCAAGUGACGGUACCUGGAGAAGAAGCACCGGCUAACUACGUG
RNAcentral lists this ribosomal RNA (466 nucleotides) under uncultured bacterium. Its description in RNAcentral is "partial 16S ribosomal RNA". It matches the Rfam family "Bacterial small subunit ribosomal RNA", at positions 28 to 507 of the family's 1533-position model. The record is from RNAcentral.